UUUCACCGUUUAAGCAGUAAC
Caenorhabditis elegans is the source of this 21-nucleotide non-coding RNA. The record is from Ensembl. NCBI's taxonomy places the organism in Eukaryota, Metazoa, Nematoda, Chromadorea, Rhabditida, Rhabditidae.